AUUGAACGCUGGCGGCAGGCCUAACACAUGCAAGUCGAGCGGAUGAAGGGAGCUUGCUUCUGGAUUCAGCGGCGGACGGGUGAGUAAUGCCUAGGAAUCUGCCUGGUAGUGGGGGAUAACGUCCGGAAACGGGCGCUAAUACCGCAUACGUCCUGAGGGAGAAAGUGGGGGAUCUUCGGACCUCACGCUAUCAGAUGAGCCUAGGUCGAUUAGCUAGUUGGUGGGGUAAAGGCCUACCAAGGCGACGAUCCGUAACUGGUCUGAGAGGAUGAUCAGUCACACUGGAACUGAGACACGGUCCAGACUCCUACGGGAGGCAGCAGUGGGGAAUAUUGGACAAUGGGCGAAAGCCUGAUCCAGCCAUGCCGCGUGUGUGAAGAAGGUCUUCGGAUUGUAAAGCACUUUAAGUUGGGAGGAAGGGCAGUAAGUUAAUACCUUGCUGUUUUGACGUUACCAACAGAAUAAGCACCGGCUAACUUCGUG
RNAcentral lists this ribosomal RNA (483 nucleotides) under uncultured bacterium. Its description in RNAcentral is "partial 16S ribosomal RNA". It matches the Rfam family "Bacterial small subunit ribosomal RNA", at positions 30 to 507 of the family's 1533-position model. The record is from RNAcentral.